This 413-nucleotide ribosomal RNA is filed under the name uncultured alveolate. RNAcentral's name for it is "bacterial SSU rRNA". It matches the Rfam family "Eukaryotic small subunit ribosomal RNA", at positions 378 to 793 of the family's 1831-position model. The record is from RNAcentral.
AGAUUCCGGAGAGGGAGCCUGAGAAACGGCUACCACAUCUAAGGAAGGCAGCAGGCGCGCAAAUUACCCAAUCCUGACACAGGGAGGCAGUGACAAGAAAUAACAAUACAGGGCAUUUACAUGCUUUGUAAUUGGAAUGGUGGGAAUCUAAACCUCUUCCAGAGUAGCAAUUGGAGGGCAAGUCUGGUGCCAGCAGCCGCGGUAAUUCCAGCUCCAAUAGCGUAUAUUAACGUUGUUGCAGUUAAAAAGCUCAUAGUUGGAUUUCUGCUGAAGACAAUCGGUCCGCUCUCUGAGUGAGUACUUGCUCUGACUUCAGCAUAUUUCUGGGGAACGUUUCUGUACUUAACUGUGUGGUACGGUAUCCAGAACUUUUACUUUGAGAAAAUUAGAGUGUUUCAAGCAGGCUACUGCCA